AGGCACUCAGUCUGUAUUUUCUCUUGUUAAAUUUCACAGCAACUCUGUGAGUUGUUAGGUGAUAUAAUCACUGAUUUCCAAAUAAGGAGGCCAAGGUUCAGAGUCAUUAAGCAGUUUCACCCAAGAUCACAAAGACAAGAAGUGGCUUUUGGAAUCUGAAGUGGGAUUUGAACAUAGGAUCUUUGACCCUAAGGUUUGAUGCUGAAUGGAAGUUUGCUAGGAAGACAAAGGAAAUAGGAAGCUGUAGAAGGCGUUUCUGGAAGAGGGUGCAGCAUGUACAAAGGCAUGAAGAUAUGAGAUUUUGCAGAUAAUGAAGAAAAGAUCCCAUGCUAGAAAGAGAGAUGUGGGCUCCAUCCUGACUCAUCCUGGUCACCUGAUCGCCCCUGGCUACCUGAUCUACCUGCUCUGAUAUGCCGGUAAUCGUCCUUCCCAGCAAAACACCCACCCUGGGACUCCAGCUCGGACACCUACUAUUAUUUUUUGAAAUAGCCAAUCGGGAUUAGUCUAGCUUGUGCAGUCUAACGCUAGCCAAUAGGGGACAACAUAGCAGUAGGG
RNAcentral lists this long non-coding RNA (555 nucleotides) under Callithrix jacchus (white-tufted-ear marmoset). Its description in RNAcentral is "lncRNA (ENSCJAG00000075134.1)". The record is from RNAcentral. Lineage: Eukaryota; Metazoa; Chordata; Mammalia; Primates; Cebidae.